CUGAAGUGAUAAGGUGUUAUUUUGCUUAAAUCCUUCUGGAAUUGCAUGGUGACACUCUGUGUGUGGUGGCUGUCUCAGCUGUGAACAUUCCAAGAGCAUUAGAAUUGGUGGAAAACACUGCAGAUUCAGCUUUCAUGGGGGUUUUGUACCUGGUGACAUUGAAACAAGGUGGAGGAGACUGGAGAGUCUGGGAACACCUCAUUGCUGUCCUCAGAAAGGUCCUCUCUUAUCUGAGAGUUCUGGAAGUUGCCUUGCAUUCUGUGCUCUCUUCCAGUGCUGUCCCCAGCAGGGAAAUUGGGCUGUUCACAUGGAGUUUUACAGACUGAGGUGGAUGAUAAACUGCUUGUCCUGUGAAUCAUCAGGAAAUGAACCUCAAAUUGGGGUCUGUGUCUGGUGAAUCAAAGAUGACUCUGAGCUAAUAAAAGGUUAUAGCUUGACUUCAAUAAUGGUGGUUUCCAGCUGGAUAAAAGCCUGGGUGGAUUUUGUUUGUGUUUGUCCAGAAGUCUGUUGAGGCUGAGUGUGCU
This is a non-coding RNA of Zonotrichia albicollis (white-throated sparrow), 524 nucleotides long. The record is from RefSeq and is a predicted model, not a curated record. NCBI's taxonomy places the organism in Eukaryota, Metazoa, Chordata, Aves, Passeriformes, Passerellidae.